RNAcentral lists this ribosomal RNA (253 nucleotides) under uncultured bacterium. RNAcentral's name for it is "partial 16S ribosomal RNA". It matches the Rfam family "Bacterial small subunit ribosomal RNA", at positions 524 to 776 of the family's 1533-position model. The record is from RNAcentral.
UCCGAAGGGGGCUAUCGUUGUUCGGAAUCACUGGGCGUAAAGCGCACGCAGGCGGCUUGAUAAGUCGGGGGUGAAAUCCCGGGGCUUAACCGCGGAAUUGCCUUCGAUACUGUCUGUCUUGAGGUCGGGAGAGGUGGGCGGAAUUCCUAGUGUAGAGGUGAAAUUCGUAGAUAUUAGGAAGAACGCCAGUGGCGAAGGCGGCCCACUGGCCCGAAACUGACGCUCAUGUGCGAAAGCGUGGGGAGCAAACGGG